CUUAAAGAAAUUUAGUCCUCUAAAUUUGUGUACCUGAUUAUUGAAAAAGAUUUUUAAAUUUCCUAAGAAUCUUAAACCUAUUGCUCUGAUACCAUAAUUGUCACACCCCAAGAAUUUACAAUACUGAUAUUCCUGAGAUGUGGCAGUCAAAACAUAUAUAUACAUCUCUUUUUAGGACAAAUUUACAAUGACGAAUUUUUAAAAAGUAACAAAAGAAAGU
Molecule: long non-coding RNA, 220 nt
Filed under: Amborella trichopoda
Lineage: Eukaryota; Viridiplantae; Streptophyta; Magnoliopsida; Amborellales; Amborellaceae
Description: long non-coding RNA (ATRI_LNC003908)
Source: RNAcentral